RNAcentral lists this ribosomal RNA (305 nucleotides) under uncultured bacterium. Its description in RNAcentral is "bacterial SSU rRNA". It matches the Rfam family "Bacterial small subunit ribosomal RNA", at positions 334 to 656 of the family's 1533-position model. The record is from RNAcentral.
UGAGCCUACGGGAGGCAGCAGUGGGGAAUAUUGCACAAUGGGGGAAACCCUGAUGCAGCGACGCCGCGUGAGUGAGGAAGUAUUUCGGUAUGUAAAGCUCUAUCAGCAGGGAAGAAAAUGACGGUACCUGACUAAGAAGCCCCGGCUAACUACGUGCCAGCAGCCGCGGUAAUACGUAGGGGGCAAGCGUUAUCCGGAUUUACUGGGUGUAAAGGGAGCGUAGGCGGCGAUAGAAGUCAGAAGUGAAAGCCCGGGGCUCAACUCCGGGACUGCUUUUGAAACUGUAUGGCUAGAUUGUAGGAGAG